This 250-nucleotide ribosomal RNA is filed under the name uncultured bacterium. RNAcentral's name for it is "partial 16S ribosomal RNA". It matches the Rfam family "Bacterial small subunit ribosomal RNA", at positions 28 to 293 of the family's 1533-position model. The record is from RNAcentral.
GAUGAACGCUGGCAGUAUGCUUAACACAUGCAAGUCGUACGGAAAUUUUUAGCAAUAAAAAUUUGAGUGGCGGACGGGUGAGUAACGCGUAAGAAUCUUCCUUAAGGAGAGGGAUAACUAUUGGAAACGAUGGGUAAUCCCUCAUAUGGAGUCAUCUGAAAAGAACUUGUUCUGCCUUAAGAUGAGCUUGCGUCUGAUUAGCUAGUUGGUGAGGUAAUGGCUUCCCAAGGCGACGAUCAGUAGCUGAUUU